GAUCUCCACACUGUCUCGGCCAGAGACUCGGUGAAAUUGCAGUCGCGGUGAAAAUUCCGUGUACCCGCAGAAAGACGGAAAGACCCUGUGCACCUUUACUAUAGCUUGACAUUGGAUUUUGGGCCUGCAUGUGUAGGAUAGGUGGGAGGCUGUGAACCCUGUACGCCAGUAUGGGGGGAGCCAUCCUUGAAAUACCACCCUUGCAUGUUUAAGAUCCUAACUUCUUCCGGUUAUCCCGGAGAAAGACAGUGUCUGGCGGGUAGUUUGACUGGGGCGGUCGCCUCCUAAAGUGUAACGGAGGCAUGCAAAGGUUCCCUCAGCCUGAUCGGAAACCAGGCGCUGAGUGCAAACGCAUAAGGGAGCUUGACUGUAAGAGAGACAUCUCGAACAGGAACGAAAGUUGGCGUUAGUGAUCCGGUGGUCCCGAAUGGAAGGGCCAUCGCUCAUUGGAUAAAAGGUACGCCGGGGAUAACAGGCUGAUCGCAUCCAAGAGUUCACAUCGACGAUGCGGUUUGGCACCUCGAUGUCGGCUCAUCACAUCCUGGGGCUGAAGCAGGUCCCAAGGGUACGGCUGUUCGCCGUUUAAAGUGGUACGCGAGCUGGGUUUAAAACGUCGUGAGACAGUUUGGUCCCUAUCUUCUGUGGGCGAAGGAGAAUUGAGAGGGCCUGUCCCUAGUACGAGAGGACCGGGAUGGACGCACCCCUGGUGAUUCUGUUGUCGCGCCAGCGGCAUAGCAGGGUAGCUAUGUGCGGAAGGGAUAACCGCUGAAAGCAUCUAAGCGGGAAGCCUGCCUCAAGAUAAGUUCUCCCCUCGAAAGAGCUGAAGGGCCCGGGUAGACUACCCGGUCGAUAGGCUGGAGGUGUAAGCGCGGCGACGUGCUCAGCUGACCAGUACUAAUAGCCCGAGCGGCUUAUUUUU
RNAcentral lists this ribosomal RNA (919 nucleotides) under Escherichia coli. RNAcentral's name for it is "partial 23S ribosomal RNA". It matches the Rfam family "Bacterial large subunit ribosomal RNA", at positions 2006 to 2925 of the family's 2925-position model. Lineage: Bacteria; Pseudomonadati; Pseudomonadota; Gammaproteobacteria; Enterobacterales; Enterobacteriaceae. The record is from RNAcentral.